Molecule: ribosomal RNA, 118 nt
Filed under: Nicotiana sylvestris (wood tobacco)
Lineage: Eukaryota; Viridiplantae; Streptophyta; Magnoliopsida; Solanales; Solanaceae
Source: RNAcentral
GGAUGCGAUCAUACCAAUAAAACUCACCGGAUCCCAUCAGAACUCUGAAGUUAAACGCGCUUGGAUGAGAGUAGUACUAGUACGGGUGACACCCUGGGAAGUCCUCGUGUUGCAUCCC